Molecule: transfer RNA, 73 nt
Filed under: Pteropus alecto (black flying fox)
Lineage: Eukaryota; Metazoa; Chordata; Mammalia; Chiroptera; Pteropodidae
Rfam family: tRNA
About the family: Transfer RNA (tRNA) molecules are approximately 80 nucleotides in length. Their secondary structure includes four short double-helical elements and three loops (D, anti-codon, and T loops).
Source: Rfam by way of RNAcentral
GGUUCCAUAGUGUAGCGGUUAGGACGUCUGCUUUACAUGCAGACGGUCCUGGGUUUGCUCCCCAGUGGAGCCA